AAACGACUCUCGGCAACGGAUAUCUCGGCUCUCGCAUCGAUGAAGAACGUACGAAAUGCGAUACUUGGUGUGAAUUGCAAAUCCCGUGAACCAUCGAGUCUUUGAACGCAAGUUGCGCCCCAAGCCUUCUGGCCGAGGGCACGUCUGCCUGGGUGUCAC
This 159-nucleotide ribosomal RNA is filed under the name Berteroa mutabilis. RNAcentral describes it as "5.8S ribosomal RNA". It matches the Rfam family "5.8S ribosomal RNA". From Rfam's summary of the family: 5.8S ribosomal RNA (5.8S rRNA) is a component of the large subunit of the eukaryotic ribosome. It is transcribed by RNA polymerase I as part of the 45S precursor that also contains 18S and 28S rRNA. Lineage: Eukaryota; Viridiplantae; Streptophyta; Magnoliopsida; Brassicales; Brassicaceae. The record is from RNAcentral.